Molecule: unclassified non-coding RNA, 107 nt
Filed under: plant metagenome
Description: partial contains 5.8S ribosomal RNA, internal transcribed spacer 2, and large subunit ribosomal RNA
Source: RNAcentral
CGAAGAUGUACGCCCUCUACGCACUCGCGGUGACUACCGGCGCUCGUCUUGGCGAGCUACUGGCCUUGCAUCGCGCCGACGUUGACCUCGACGCGGGCACGCUGCGC